Molecule: ribosomal RNA, 387 nt
Filed under: uncultured bacterium
Lineage: Bacteria
Description: bacterial SSU rRNA
Rfam family: Bacterial small subunit ribosomal RNA
Source: RNAcentral
AACGAACGCUGGCGGCGUGCUUAACACAUGCAAGUCGAGCGGUAAGGCCCUUUCGGGGGUACACGAGCGGCGAACGGGUGAGUAACACGUGGGUGACCUGCCCUCAGCUCUGGGAUAAGCCUGGGAAACCGGGUCUAAUACUGGAUAUGACUCCAUGACGCAUGUUGUGGGGUGGAAAGCCUUGUGCGGCUGAGGAUGGGCCCGCGGCCUAUCAGCUUGUUGGCGGGGUGAUGGCCUACCAAGGCGACGACGGGUAGCCGGCCUGAGAGGGCGACCGGCCACACUGGGACUGAGACACGGCCCAGACUCCUACGGGAGGCAGCAGUGGGGAAUCUUGCGCAAUGGGCGAAAGCCUGACGCAGCGACGCCGCGUGAGGGAUGACGGCC